AGUUGAUCCUGGCUCAGGAUGAACGCUAGCGACAGGCUUAACACAUGCAAGUCGAGGGGCAGCACGGGAGUAGCAAUACAACUGGUGGCGACCGGCGCACGGGUGAGUAACGCGUAUGCAACCUACCUAUCAGAGGGGAAUAACCCGGCGAAAGUCGGACUAAUACCGCAUAAAACAGGGGCACCGCAUGGUGAUAUUUGUUAAAGAGAUUCGCUGAUAGAUGGGCAUGCGUUCCAUUAGGUAGUUGGUGAGGUAACGGCUCACCAAGCCGACGAUGGAUAGGGGAACUGAGAGGUUGGUCCCCCACACUGGUACUGAGACACGGACCAGACUCCUACGGGAGGCAGCAGUGAGGAAUAUUGGUCAAUGGGCGGGAGCCUGAACCAGCCAAGUCGCGUGAAGGAAAGAAGGAUCUAUGGUUCGUAAACUUCUUUUGCAGGGGAAUAAAGUGCAGGACGUGUCCUGUUUUGUAUGUACCCUGAGAAUAAGGAUCGGCUAACUCCGUGCCAGCAGCAGC
Molecule: ribosomal RNA, 517 nt
Filed under: uncultured bacterium
Lineage: Bacteria
Description: bacterial SSU rRNA
Rfam family: Bacterial small subunit ribosomal RNA
Source: RNAcentral